GUCUGGAAUCCCGAAGAGGAUUUGGGAGUGCUCGCAAGAGAACCGGAACACAGGUGCUGCAUGGCUGUCGUCAGCUCGUGUCGUGAGAUGUUGGGUUAAGUCCCGCAACGAGCGCAACCCUUGCCAUUAGUUGCUACAUUCAGUUGGGCACUCUAAUGGGACUGCCGGUGACAAACCGGAGGAAGGUGGGGAUGACGUCAAGUCCUCAUGGCCCUUAUGGGUAGGGCUUCACACGUCAUACAAUGGUCGGGACAGAGGGUUGCCAAGCCGCGAGGUGGAGCCAAUCUCAGAAACCCGAUCGUAGUCCGGAUCGCAGUCUGCAACUCGACUGCGUGAAGUCGGAAUCGCUAGUAAUCGCGGAUCAGCAUGUCGCGGUGAAUACGUUCCCGGGUCUUGUACACACCGCCCGUCACACCAUGGGAGUGGGUUUCACCAGAAGUAGGUAGCCUAACCGCAAGGAGGGCGCUUACCACGGUGAGAUUCAUGACUGGGGUGAAGUCGUAACAAGGUAAGCGUAGUGCU
This 522-nucleotide ribosomal RNA is filed under the name uncultured bacterium. RNAcentral describes it as "bacterial SSU rRNA". It matches the Rfam family "Bacterial small subunit ribosomal RNA", at positions 988 to 1509 of the family's 1533-position model. The record is from RNAcentral.